RNAcentral lists this ribosomal RNA (350 nucleotides) under uncultured Pseudomonadota bacterium. RNAcentral's name for it is "bacterial SSU rRNA". It matches the Rfam family "Bacterial small subunit ribosomal RNA", at positions 1 to 356 of the family's 1533-position model. Lineage: Bacteria; Pseudomonadati; Pseudomonadota. The record is from RNAcentral.
UACAGUUUGAUCCUGGCUCAGAUUGAACGCUGGCGGCAUGCCUUACACAUGCAAGUCGAACGGCAGCACGGGGGCAACCCUGGUGGCGAGUGGCGAACGGGUGAGUAACACAUCGGAACGUGUCCUGUUGUGGGGGAUAACCCACCGAAAGGUGAGCUAAUACCGCAUAACCUCGGGAGAGAAAAGCAGGGGACCUGAAAGGGCCUUGCGCCGAUUGGAGCGGCCGAUGUCCGAUUAGCUAGUUGGUGGGGUAAAGGCCUACCAAGGCGACGAUCGGUAGCUGGUCUGAGAGGAUGAUCAGCCACACUGGGACUGAGACACGGCCCAGACUCCUACGGGAGGCAGCAGUG